AUCCAGACUCCUACGGGAGGCAGCAGUGGGGGAUAUUGCACAAUGGGGGGAACCCUGAUGCAGCGACGCCGCGUGGGUGAAGGAGUGCUUCGGCAUGUAAAGCCCUAUCGGCAGGGAAGAAGCAAGACGGUACCUGACUAAGAAGCCCCGGCUAACUACGUGCCAGCAGCCGCGGUAAUACGUAGGGGGCGAGCGUUAUCCGGAUUCACUGGGUGUAAAGGGAGCGUAGACGGCCAUGCAAGCCAGGGGUGAAAGCCCGGGGCCCAACCCCGGGACUGCUUUGGAAACUGUAUGGCUGGAGUACUGGAGAGGCAAGCGGAAUUCCUAGUGUAGCGGUGAAAUGCGUAGAUAUUAGGAAGAACACCAGUGGCGAAGGCGGCUUGCUGGACGACGACUGACGGUGAGGCGCGAAAGCGUGGGGAGCAAACAGGAUUAGAUACCCGCGUACGU
RNAcentral lists this ribosomal RNA (450 nucleotides) under uncultured bacterium. Its description in RNAcentral is "bacterial SSU rRNA". It matches the Rfam family "Bacterial small subunit ribosomal RNA", at positions 329 to 794 of the family's 1533-position model. The record is from RNAcentral.